RNAcentral lists this ribosomal RNA (244 nucleotides) under uncultured bacterium. RNAcentral describes it as "partial 16S ribosomal RNA". It matches the Rfam family "Bacterial small subunit ribosomal RNA", at positions 796 to 1041 of the family's 1533-position model. The record is from RNAcentral.
CACGCCGUAAACGAUGAGUACUAGGUGUAGGAGGGUCCAACCUUCUGUGCCGCAGUUAACACAAUAAGUACUCCGCCUGGGAAGUACGAUCGCAAGAUUAAAACUCAAAGGAAUUGACGGGGGCCCGCACAAGCAGCGGAGCAUGUGGUUUAAUUCGAAGCAACGCGAAGAACCUUACCUGGACUUGACAUCCCCUGAAUAGUGCAGAGAUGCAUGAAGCCCUUCGGGGCAGGGAGACAGGUGG